CCUACGGGAGGCAGCAGUGGGGAAUAUUGUGCAAUGGGCGAAAGCCUGAAGCAGCGACGCCGCGUGCGGGAUGAAGGUCUUCGGAUCGUAAACCUCUGUCAGCAGGGAAGAAAGGUCACUGUGCUAAUCAGCAGUGAAUUGACGGUACCUGCAAAGGAAGCACAGGCUAACUCCGUCACACCAGCCGAGGUAAUACGGAGGGUCCGAGCGUUAAUCGGAAUUACUGGGCGUAAAGCGCUCGUAGGCGGUAUGUCAAGUCUAGGGGGAAAUCCCCGGGCUCAACGUGGGAACUGCCUUGGAAACUGGCAAACUGGAGUGUGUGAGAGGAUAGUGGAAGUCCAGGUGUAGGAGUGAAAUCCGUAGAUAUCUGGAGGAACAUCAGUGGCGAAGGCGACUAUCUGGCACAUAACUGACGCUGAGGAGCGAAAGCGUGGGUAGCAAACAGGAUUAGAUACCCCAGUAGUC
RNAcentral lists this ribosomal RNA (465 nucleotides) under uncultured bacterium. RNAcentral describes it as "partial 16S ribosomal RNA". It matches the Rfam family "Bacterial small subunit ribosomal RNA", at positions 338 to 795 of the family's 1533-position model. The record is from RNAcentral.